Molecule: long non-coding RNA, 790 nt
Filed under: Brassica napus (rape)
Lineage: Eukaryota; Viridiplantae; Streptophyta; Magnoliopsida; Brassicales; Brassicaceae
Description: long non-coding RNA (BNAP_LNC008344)
Source: RNAcentral
CGGCAAAUAAAGGUAAUAUAGUAUUUUUUUUUUCCAACUGGUUUUGAUUAAUAAAACUUGUAGAACAGAACAUACAAGAGUGAGAUCUUAAACCCACAACAGGGAGACAUGAACCCAAACAACGGGUGACUUAAACCCAAAUAAAGGGUGACACUUGAUAAAACUACAACCAACACAAGAGAACUCUAGACUCAUAUAACCAAAGUAAAGACAAUCUUUGACAAGGGAUAACAAUAUUAAUCCUUUUACGAUUUGAACAGCCGGAACUCUUGACGAGAGAGGAAGCGAUGCAGUGGCCAUAACAACGAAACAGAACUAAACUUACCUGAACCUCCAGUUCACAGUACCAAGCCAAAACCAACAAGAAUAACAUCAUAUACCAACCAGAGAAGAACUACAACUGGGGCAAGCUCCCUCCUCAAACGAACCUUCAUCAGAAACCUUACUACCCUCAACCUCAUUAUACUGCUUCGAUUAGCCGAAGCACCCGAGGAACACGAGAGCAAAAGACAAACCGAGAAAUACACUUAUCCAAAGGCCGCGACAAUGACUCUUUUCUAGAGCGGGACAAGCAACCUGAAACUUCUCAAAGAUGUUAGACAUGUUCUGAUUUCCUCAUACCACCACGCCACCAUCGCACACCGUUUACACCGAAGCUAGAACGAAGGUAAAAGGUAAUAUAGUAUAUAUUGUAAUAAUAGUAGAAGAUAUUUUUUUAGUUAAAUACCUAAUUAUACUUUAUUUCAUAGGGUACUCUGGCCAAUAUCCCUUACUUUUUCUCGUUGAAAAC